This 253-nucleotide ribosomal RNA is filed under the name uncultured bacterium. RNAcentral describes it as "partial 16S ribosomal RNA". It matches the Rfam family "Bacterial small subunit ribosomal RNA", at positions 524 to 776 of the family's 1533-position model. The record is from RNAcentral.
UACGAAGGGGGCUAGCGUUGCUCGGAAUCACUGGGCGUAAAGGGUGCGUAGGCGGGUCUUUAAGUCCGGGGUGAAAUCCUGGGGCUCAACUCCAGAACUGCCUUUGAUACUGAGGAUCUUGAGUUCGGGAGAGGUGAGUGGAACUGCGAGUGUAGAGGUGAAAUUCGUAGAUAUUCGCAAGAACACCAGUGGCGAAGGCGGCUCACUGGCCCGAUACUGACGCUGAGGCACGAAAGCGUGGGGAGCAAACAGG